CCUCCACUCAUAAAAAUAUUACAUAAUUAUUACACCAAAAAGAUCAACUUGAUGCUCCUCUUUGAAUAUGCGGUUAUAAUAAUAAUCAUAAAAACAUUAAUUUUUUUAAAAUCAUUUCAAUUUAAUUUUCUCAGUAUCAGAGACAAAAUUGUACUACUGUGUAACAUCAUUAACAAUAAAAUAUUAAAGUUGUUUUUUAUUCCUUUUCGAUCAAAAAAGUCAAUAACCUUUGGUAUUUAUCUUCAACUUGCAACUUGCUUAGGGUUUGCACUUCCAUUUUCUCACCUGUUUCUUCUUCUGGGUUCAUUCAAGGUCUAG
Vicia faba (fava bean) is the source of this 318-nucleotide non-coding RNA. The record is from the annotation of a GenBank genome assembly. NCBI's taxonomy places the organism in Eukaryota, Viridiplantae, Streptophyta, Magnoliopsida, Fabales, Fabaceae.